AAAGGUAAGGAUAUUGCUUUUUCGUAGCGAAGGUAAGAGUUCAAUUCUCUUUAGG
Molecule: transfer RNA, 55 nt
Filed under: Mucochytrium quahogii
Lineage: Eukaryota; Bigyra; Thraustochytrida; Thraustochytriidae
Description: labyrinthulid quahog parasite QPX partial tRNA
Source: RNAcentral